Non-coding RNA from Acanthosepion pharaonis, 112 nucleotides. Lineage: Eukaryota; Metazoa; Mollusca; Cephalopoda; Sepiida; Sepiidae. The record is from the annotation of a GenBank genome assembly.
UACGGUCACAUGACAUUGAAACAUCAGUUUUCAUAUGAUCACUAAAGGUAAGCAAUGUUGAGCCUGAGCAGCACCUAGAUGGGUAAGCACUUGGGAAUACCAGGUGCUGUAA